AACCAUAGAAACCUGCGGAGUACCUGCGGAAGGAUCAUUACAGAGUUAUCCAACUCCCAAACCCAUGUGAACUUAUCUCUUUGUUGCCUCGGCGCAAGCUACCCGGGACCCAGCGCCCCGGGCGGCCCGCCGGCGGACAAACCAAAACUCUUGUUAUCUUAGUUGAUUAUCUGAGCGUCUUAUUUAAUAAGUCAAAACUUUUAGCAACGGAUCU
This 214-nucleotide unclassified non-coding RNA is filed under the name soil metagenome. Its description in RNAcentral is "partial contains 5.8S ribosomal RNA, internal transcribed spacer 2, and large subunit ribosomal RNA". The record is from RNAcentral.